GAUGAACGCUGGCGGCGUGCCUAAUACAUGCAAGUCGAACGCUUCACUUCGGUGAAGAGUGGCGAACGGGGGAGUAAUACAUAAGUAACCUGGCAUCUACAGGGGGAUAACUGUUGGAAACGUCAGCUAAGACCGCAUAGGUGUAGAGAUCGCAUGAACUCUAUAUGAAAAGUGCUACGGAAGUGGUAGAGGAUGGACUUAUGGCGCAUUAGCUUGUUGGUGGGGGAGCGGCCUACCAAGGCGACGAUAGGUAGCCGGCCUGAGAGGGUGACCGGCCACAGUGGGACUGAGAUACGGCACAGACUCCUACGGGAGGCAGCAGUGGGGAAUAUUGCACAAUGGGCGGAAGCCUAAUGCAGCAACGCCGCGUGCGGGAUGACGGCCUUCGGGUUGUAAACCGCUUUCGCCUGUGACGAAGCGUGAGUGACGGUAAUGGGUAAAGAAGCACCGGCUAACUACGUG
This 462-nucleotide ribosomal RNA is filed under the name uncultured bacterium. RNAcentral's name for it is "partial 16S ribosomal RNA". It matches the Rfam family "Bacterial small subunit ribosomal RNA", at positions 28 to 507 of the family's 1533-position model. The record is from RNAcentral.